UAUGUGAUCGUCUCUCGCAUAUCAAUAAGCGGAGGAAAAGAGGGCUAUUACCUACGCUUAGGAUGUUGACACACGCGCGUGCUCGAUGAUAGUCUAUACAUGACUCUGUGCAUAUCAAUAAGCGGAGGAAAAGGCUGCGGAACUGAACGACCGCUACCUACGCUUAGGAUGUUGACACACGCGCGUGCUCGAUGAUAGUCUAUACAUGACUCUGUGCAUAUCAAUAAGCGGAGGAAAAGAAACUAACAAGGAUUCCCCUAGUAACGGCGAGUGAAGCGGGAAGAGCUCAAAUUUGAAAUCUUAAAGGGUUUCCCUUUACGAAUUGUAGUUUAAAGAAGUGUUUUCUGUUGAGGUUUUGGUAAAAGUUCUUUGGAAUAGGACAUCAUAGAGGGUGAGAAUCCCGUAUUUGACCUUUACUUUCAACUUUGUGAUACACUUUCAAAGAGUCGGAUUGUUUGGGAAUGCAGUCCAAAAUGGGUGGUAAAUUUCAUCUAAAGCUAAAUAUUGGCGAGAGACCGAUAGCGAACAAGUACCGUGAGGGAAAGAUGAAAAGAACUUUGAAAAGAGAGUUAAACAGUACGUGAAAUUGUCAAAAGGGAAGCGUUUGACACCAGUGUUGUUUUUCUGAAAAUCAAUUAAAGAACUGUUUAUGCUAAGUUGUUUAGACUUUAUCAGCUAACUGUUUAGUUUUGAGCUUUUCUUUAAUGCACUUUUCAGUUAACAAGUCAACAUCAAUCUCUUUUGCUGUAAAAAAGCUUGAGGAAGGUGGCUUGAGAUUCGUCUUAAGUGUUUAUAGCCUCUUGCCUAUGCAGUCGGAGAGAUUGAGGUCUGCAGCGUAGAUCCUUCGGGGCUAAAUGCAUUUGUGCUAAGUUAUAGCAUUUUAUAGACAACUUGUUGACUAUGAUUUGUCUUGUAGCUUACUCGCUUAUGUUAUUUUACCUACGCUUAGGAUGUUGACACACGCGCGUGCUCG
This 973-nucleotide ribosomal RNA is filed under the name uncultured Neocallimastigales. RNAcentral's name for it is "partial large subunit ribosomal RNA". The stretch from base 180 to 973 matches the Rfam family "Eukaryotic large subunit ribosomal RNA", at positions 1 to 646 of the family's 3401-position model. Lineage: Eukaryota; Fungi; Neocallimastigomycota; Neocallimastigomycetes; Neocallimastigales. The record is from RNAcentral.